GCGCGAAAACUUUACAAUGCGGGAAACCGUGAUAAGGGAAUCUCGAGUGCCAGCAUAUAAUGUUGGCUGUCCAGAUGCCUAAAAAGCAUCUGUUAGCAAGGGCCGGGCAAGACCGGUGC
This 119-nucleotide ribosomal RNA is filed under the name uncultured Methanosaeta sp. Its description in RNAcentral is "partial 16S rRNA". It matches the Rfam family "Archaeal small subunit ribosomal RNA", at positions 339 to 458 of the family's 1478-position model. Lineage: Archaea; Methanobacteriati; Methanobacteriota; Methanomicrobia; Methanotrichales; Methanotrichaceae. The record is from RNAcentral.